GAUGAACGCUGGCGGCGUGCCUAAUACAUGCAAGUCGAGCGAACAGACGAGGAGCUUGCUCCUCUGACGUUAGCGGCGGACGGGUGAGUAACACGUGGAUAACCUACCUAUAAGACUGGGAUAACUUCGGAAACCGGAGCUAAUACCGGAUAACAUGUUGAACCGCAUGGUUCAACAGUGAAAGACGGUUUUGCUGUCACUUAUAGAUGGAUCCGCGUCGCAUUAGCUAGUUGGUAAGGUAACGGCUUACCAAGGCAACGAUGCGUAGCCGACCUGAGAGGGUGAUCGGCCACACUGGAACUGAGACACGGUCCAGACUCCUACGGGAGGCAGCAGUAGGGAAUCUUCCGCAAUGGGCGAAAGCCUGACGGAGCAACGCCGCGUGAGUGAAGAAGGUCUUCGGAUCGUAAAACUCUGUUAUUAGGGAAGAACAAAUGUGUAAGUAACUAUGCACGUCUUGACGGUACCUAAUCAGAAAGCCACGGCUAACUACGUG
RNAcentral lists this ribosomal RNA (496 nucleotides) under uncultured bacterium. RNAcentral's name for it is "partial 16S ribosomal RNA". It matches the Rfam family "Bacterial small subunit ribosomal RNA", at positions 28 to 507 of the family's 1533-position model. The record is from RNAcentral.